RNAcentral lists this long non-coding RNA (27181 nucleotides) under Populus tremula. Its description in RNAcentral is "long non-coding RNA (PTRE_LNC003476)". Lineage: Eukaryota; Viridiplantae; Streptophyta; Magnoliopsida; Malpighiales; Salicaceae. The record is from RNAcentral.
UACAGCAACUGGAGUUUCAAAAGUGAUUCUCUCCUUUCUUUAUUCAAACUUGAGAUUAUUUCUAAUACAAAGAGUAUCAACACUGAAAAUUUGACAGAAAAUAAAAACAGUCAAAAGAGUUGCUGCAAAUUAUUCCAUAAAUAGAUUCCAGGUAGCAUUCAUCUUUGAGACUCCCAAGUUCUUUAACCUGUGUGAUCUUCGACUUCAGAAUCUGGACCGCAUCUUAUCCCACAUUUGAUCUCACAGCGGCGCAUAAGUCUUGUGUUUGAUUGAACGCAGCCGGUGGUACAUGCGUCAUCGCAAUCAGAAGCAUCAGACGCUACGUUCUCAAAAUGAGAAGCGACCAUGCUCACAAUCAACACAGCAACCAAUAUUUUCCUCAUCAUUGUCCUUAGCUCAAUCUCUCUCUCUCUCUCUCUCUCUCUAUAUGUUUGCUUUGUGACCCCCCUCCCCGCAUUUCUUUUUUAUACAUGUCGUGUUAGAUAUUUUAGAGUUUCGUAAGAUUAAAAAAAGUAUUAAAUUGUGUACAGUUUAUAUUGUAUUGUUUCAGUCAAAUUGAAGCCAUCCAUUCAUUACCCACGGAUCUAAUCGCUGAACGUUUUUAUGUUUGCUGUAGUUCUUAACAAAUUUCUCUAUGAAUCAUCCAUCUCGUGUUCUCUGUUGCUCACAAUACCAUGUUGCUUCUUGUUGUCCAACUUGCAGAUCUGAGAUGGCUAGCCAUUAAUUAAUGCAUGCACUAGUAUGUCCAACUUGCAGAUCUGAGAUGACAAAACCUGAUUUUUUUUUUCAAAUCAGCCGUCUAUAUUGAAUGCUUUCGCCGACGAGAGACCAAGGAUAAGGUUUUGUCUAAUACACGGUUGUCGAGGGCUGCUGGUGUUACACCUGUAGCAGUGCAAGUGUCUGUGGUCAAUUCCAUCUUGGAGGUGUAACGUGGUUGUGCUAAGCGCUAACCCUAUCCAUGUUUCGUGUUUGCUCUCUUACUAUCGAGCAGUAGCCCAGCCUGGUAAGAACUUUUUGACCAUGCCAGGCGGUGCCCAUAUUUCCAAGACAAAGCACAAUAUUCAUAGUUGAUGAGCAAAAGGUUCGUGCUCCUUAUUAAAAGAAAAAUAAAUAAAUUUAAAGAGUGUGCUCCUUAAUUAUAUCUUAGUCAAUGCCAUGAUUCCUCUCCUUAUCUUGCCAUGACUGCAUGGUCCAUUGUUCUUGCUUCACUCCACAAUUAGUGGGCAUCCUGCUCUCCAAGAAAUUUAUUUACUCACAUAUCGAAUAUUUUCACUUUAAUGGAAUCUAUGGGUUCUAAACAAGCGUUUAGUACAAACAAAGAAGAGAAUGGUUGAAGAAGAAACAGUCCCACAGAGCUGAAAGUGCAUAAGAAAAAUGUACUGGCUUCAGCAAAAAAACUAGUAAUUUAAUCCAAAAUUAUCAUGUGCAGAACAAUAUACCUUUGUUCUCCAGGUAUAGCAGCUUCCUGUGAAGAUCAUCAUCCAUUGUAUGGGAAGUGAUGGACGCACUCCACGCCAUUGGAUUCCUUCUCAUUUCCCUCUCUAAGAUACCAAUGCAGAACCUGUCAUUGUUCGCUUCCUUAUAAGCUAGCUUGAAUAGAUUCUUGUAAUUUUAUAUUUUAUAUUUUGCUAAUUAAAAUUUUUGUAUUUCAAUUUUCAAUCUCUAAAAAUUAAAAUAGGUUUCGGAUUUGAUUCAUUUUUAAGUUGUUUUUAUUGAAUUUUAAGGUUCAGGUUGGGUUCUAAGAGUCUUUUGAAAGGAUUUUGAGGCAUUUGAGAUGAAAAAUAAUGAAAGAAAAUGAGCCUUUUUUUUUUUUUUUGUAAAAAAAAAAUAGAGCAAUUCCUAAUUUUUCAGCGGCUUUAAAGUCAUCAAAAUUGUGAUAGUGGAUGAUCCGUUGGCGGAAAAAAAAACAUGCACUUAUGGGCUAACUCGAUGGCCUAGGCGUUUCAUCACCGGGGCCUAGCAUGUAUGUCCCCAUUUUUCUUUUUAAUUCUCCAAAAUUAAUUUAUAUUUUUAUAAAAUAUUUUUUUCAAAUAUAUUUUAGAUGAUUUUGAUGUUUAGAAUUAUUUAUAAUCUUUUAAAUACUUAUGGUGACAAAACGGUUAACGUAAGACUGGAAUUUAUUUUAUAAAUAAUUAUAUAAUUAUUAUAGCUUCAAAAAUCUUUAUAGUGAAUCGAAUAUAGUCCUCCAAUAUUUACUUGAAUCUUACAAUUUAAUUAAAUAUUGUAAGAUGUUAAAGUUAAUACAAGGAUACUUAUAGUCCGUUUGCUUUUAUAUAAUAAAAGUAUUUUUUUAAUUAAUUUUUUUAGUGUUUUUAAAUUAUUUUGAUGUUCUAAUAUUAAAAAUAUUUUUUUAAAAAAAUAUAUAUUAUCUCAAUAUUUUUUUUUUAAAAAAAUUAUUUAAAAAUAAUCAUUACCAUAAUACCAACAUCAGAUAUAUUUUAAAAUUUUUAUAUCAUUUACAGAGUCUUUCCUGAUAUUUAUUUUAAUUAUUAUAAAAUUAAAAAAAUAAUAAGUUAAAAAACCAGUAGCAAGUUAGCAAACAGCAAGCAAGCUAUCUAGUAAAAAAAAAGAGUAUCAGCUUAACAUUGGCACCUUUCACAAUAGCUGACAUGUCGUUCAUUAAUUGUUGGGUGUCGUCAAUACCAGCACUGAACCUAGAUGAUAGGACCACCUAUGGCAAACCAAACAGGCAAUGGAGGCAGUGUUUUUUCUGUGGGUUUAGGUUGCUUUUAAAAAUAUUUUUUAAAAACUAUUUUAUACUAGAAAAAUAAUUAAAUUGAUAUUUUAAAAAAUAUAUUUUUUUAUGAUUUUUAUGUGUUGAAGAUAAAAAUAAUAAUAAAAUUUUUUAUGUAUUUUUCAAUUGAAAAGCAAUUUCAUAAAAGUUUCAUUUAUUGUAUUAUCAAACGCACUUGUAGACUGUUUCAAAUUUCUAUAGCUUUACAUAGUGUUAGGGCAUUUUUGUUAAAUUAAAAUUAAAAACAAAAUAAUAAUGCUUAGUCUUUCAUUGUACACUCUAAUUUAUUGUGUUGCGGAUUGAAACGAUAAAAUUUAACCUUUUUUGAAAAAAUCGAUGAAUUCUAUUAUAAUAAGAUUUUUUUUCAUGAUCCUUGAUCAAAAACAACUCUAUCUUUUUAUAUUUUUACAGCAUAGUUAAAUAAUUAAAUUACAUUCAAAAAUAAAAUUUAUUUAACUAGUAUCUAAAUGCUCUUUUUUUUUUCCCUUCAAAAUUUCACCUUUUAAAACACACUAAAAUAACUAAAUUACUUUUAAAACAAAAUCUCUUUAGCCUAAAGCACAACGGCUUUUCUAUAAUUUCACCCUAGUUUUUUUUUUGUUAUAACAAAAUUAACUAGGGUGUAAUUUGAUAAUUUAAUAAAUAUAAAAUAUUAUUAAAAAACAAAACUAGUAGGUAUGAGCACUCGUUGACAAGUGGAGUGAGCCCAUGCUACUCAAAUAAUGCGUGAGUGUUUGUUUGGCAGCCAAACAAUAGCUUUCAAGGUGGCAUUCUAAUUGCCUUGAUAACCCCUCCAUCCUUAAGCAGCUCGAAUAGCUCAUCGAUCUCCGGUUUGGUGUUAGUGACUUCUUUUUUUUCUCCUCCUAAUUUUCAUGUCUAAUCCUUCAAGUUCUCAAGGCAACCCUUCAAUUUAUUUUCCUUUCAGAUUUGAAUUCUAUUCUUUUUAUUAUUAUUUGUUUUAUUUCAAAUAAUUUAUAAAAUUGGAAUAUUUUUAGUUUCACGCUCCUUUAAUAUUUUCAUCUAUGGAUUUGGUCCAUAUUAUUUUGAUUGCUAGUUGUUUUAUUUGAGAUAAUUUUUAAAAUUAUAUUAUUUUUUUACAUUGGUAUUUUUCUUAUAAAAUCUAAUCUUCAUUUUUUUUAUUGCUAUUUUUUUACCUUGGUAAUUUUUUUAAAUUGAUAUUUAUUUUUUAAUUUUAUCAUUCAACAUUAAAUUGGUUGAGAAUUCAGCUUCAUGAUUUAGCCCGAGUCUAGAAUUUUAUGGGUUGCAAGUUUAGGAGAUUCAUCAAGGUUUAUUUUUUUUAAAAGCUUAUGUUUUCUCAAUUUCAUCCUUCAAUAUUUAUUUAACAUGACAUUGGAAUUCAUUAUUUGUUUUUUAUUUGCUUUCCAUAGGAUUUUUCUUUAAUUUUGAAAAUGACUUGUGUUAUUCGAGUCUUUUGAGUUGUUGUUAUUUGUUAAAUUUAUCUUUGUUUAAAAAAAUUAUUUUUGAAUUAAAUUAAAUUAAUUGAUUAAACAUAAGCAUGAAAUGCUCACUUCAUGAUAUUAUAAUAACCAUAUAAAAAACAAGUUAAAAUAAAUUAUCAACUCUAAACCCCAUAAACAUAUCAUAUAAGAACUAAAAAAAAUCAAUAACCAAAGAAAAAAAAAGUUAACAUACAAAGGAAAAAAAACAACACUAGUUAUUGAUUUUUUUAGUUCUUUUAUAUAUAUAUAUAUAUAUAUAUAUAUAUAUAGAUUUUAGAGUUGAUAAUUUAUUUUAAUUGAAAAAAUAUUAAUAAUUUAUUGAUUUAUAUCCAACAUAAUUGUAUAGUUUUGUAUUGUUUUCUUAGUAUCAUUCAAGAUUGAUUUUAUGAGAUACAUGUAAGGCAUUUUAAUUUUUUUGAAAAAAUUAAGUAUGGAGGAUUGAAAAAAAAAAAAGUAUGGAGGAUUGAAGAUUAGCUAUCCCUCAUCACCGAUUCCUUUAAAGAGCAUAUUUGGUCUCAUCACCAAAAGAUACAUAAUGUAUUCAGAUAUACAUCUGCUUGUUUCAUAUUCUUUGGAGAUAAUACUUCCAUCUUUAUCAAGAAGAUAACAAAUCUUUGUUGCGAGAUGCCAUACAAGAAUGCUCCGACUGAAUUCUACUUCAGUCGUGCACCCCUUGUAGUCCCGUAACAGUCACUCUCUUUCUAGCACACCAUCUCCCCUCUGACCAAGAUGUAUUGCCUAUAAUUCUAAAGCUCCUGCAAUCAGCUUUAGAAUGCAGUGAUGAGUCGUAUCUUCUGACUUCAUUUCUGGGAAUAUGAUGUUCGAGCACUGAACUCCCGAAAGGUUUGAAUCUGUAGCUCACAUUUACCCUUGGAUUGGUGUGUUAUCAAUACUGCAACCUCAAAACAGAGAAAAUGUACCAGAAAACUACUGCAGGAUAUGAAGCCCCUGAUACAUGGACAACGGAAUCUGGUUCAAUCAUCAAAACUAUUCCCAGAAAUUAUUCAACUCAAUAGGCACAUUGAAAAUUUUGUAAGAACCCACCCGGUGAGGUGCAAGACUCCAUCAAUACUGGCUUGUAUAACUCGGAAUCCUUUGCCUGUACCAUGUUAGAAGGCAACUCAAGAAAAGAUUAAAAUUCCGCAUAAAAAAGAUUUCAAGAAGAGCUUCAUGCCUGUUAUAGCAGCAAUGCAAGGACAAUGGUACCAAAUCAAUAAUUAAAAUGAGAGUGAUGAGCAUUGUAAGGUGGCUUGAUAGACACAUCAAAUUUCAUGGAAACUUAAUUGCAUGAAUACGAUGAAGUACUCUUUGAAAUUGAAACAAGAAUCAUAGUUAUAUAUUUAUCCAGAUGUAUAGCAGAUCAGAAACAAGGCAGCUUACCUUGUCCAGUUGAAUAAACGGAUUGACAAGUGAAGCAUCAGAGGAGGCUGGCUUUUCUUACGUUAAUGGAUUGUCAUAUUAAGCUCUGCUUCUUGGCACCUCUCUGUCUAGAGCCUCCCAUCUUGGACCUGAUACUUUUUCCAGGAAAAACCUGUGUAAGAGGAGAGCUGCUUGAGAUGCCUUGAGAACAUGAAAAACAGCGUUCAACGCCUCUCAAGAUUAUUUUUUAGGAAAAAAAAAAAACCUUCAUUCUAAAAGAAAAAUCCCUUCUCUUCCCCUCAUCUUUCGUGCUCAAUCACCCUGAAAAAAAAGCACAGCCACCACAAUUCUGAAGCCUCGGCACCACGACCAGCGUUAAAACCCACCAAAAAUAGUGGCAAUAAGAGGUGCAGAUGGAGGAAGACAGUGAACAACCACUGCCGAUACCCACAUCAGAUCUCACCGUCAUGAAGUCUACCUCCCUCAGUGAUCGAUUAAAUGCGAUUUAGUUUCAUCAAAUUUGGGUUUCUUUUGAUUUAUGGGAGGUUCUUGAAAUGGGUUUAUGUUGGAUAAGUGGAUUUGAAGUAAUCUGGAGAGGGAGAGAUAGUAUUUAAAGAUUGUUUUAGGAUUUCAAGCUUGAAGAUUGCUUGAAGAUUUAAGUCAAAAGACCUGAAUCUUAGGUUUUAAAAACACUGCCAUCAUGGUGAUUUUUUUUUUUUUUUUACAUUAAAAAAAAAGAUUUCUCAUUUUCAGAAGCAAUUAUGAUAUUAAUAAUUUAGUAUUUUUAUUCUUCAAUCGAUAAACACAUGUUUUUCUGACUACGGAUACAACAUAACAAAAUCUUAUUGUUGAUAAAGAUUGAAUAAUCCCUUGAUCAUCAGUUUGUGCGUGCUGGUGAACCUCCUUAAAGAGCACGAAUCCCAUGCUAUGGAGUUGAUGCACCUAAAAAGGACCUCAGCUGCUCAAGCUCUCGCUCUUUACGCUCAAGCUCUUCGUCUUUAUAUGCUACCAUCCUUUUCAGUUCUUUCACCUCCUUCAAAAUAGUUGUAAUUUUUUAUUAAUCUACGCAACUUUUUCUUAUUAAAAAAAAAGAAAUUAAGAGUUUUUAUGAAUUUCAAGUUAAUUUUCUCAUUCCAAUAUAUAGAGGUAAUUUCACUAAUUUCCUAUUGUUAAUCAAUCAACGUUUGCUAGCAAAUUAAGUGCAACUUUGUGUGGUGUAAAAAUUUCAAUUAAAAAAAAAUAACAAUAAAAAUAAACAAAGUUGGUAUAAAAAUAAAAUAAAAUAAAAUUUUAAAAAUCAAAAUAAAAUAUAUAGCAAUAUUCAAAAGAUUGAGAUCAAAUUUGAUAUAAUUAAUAAAUAAUAAGAUAUUUUUGAAAUUUUUACAACUUCUCAAAAGUAUUUUUUACUUCAAAUAAAAAAAUUUAUUUACUGAAAACCAAACUAAAAUUUUCUUGUCACUAUAAAUUAUUUUUCAAAGAAACUUUUCUAACAAUAAACAUAAAAAAGUUUGAUUCUAUAGCCAUAGAAUCCAAACAGUAAAAAGGCAGUGACCAUUCGACAGUUUAUUUGAGGAAAAGGAUAGCGAGAAAGGAAAUUGGCAUCAUACCUCAUUGGAACUUGACGGUGACAUGUCUGCAUUACCUCUCAGAUAUCUAUCAAUGGCCCCACGAUAUUCUUCUUCCUCCUUUAUAUUUUUUGUUGAAAAUUGCGGUGAAACAUCAUCAAGAUUGUUGUCAAGAAUUAAAGUAGUCAUCAGUUAACAUAAUCAAAUAUCUAAUAUUAAUAAUUUACUCCAUAGUUUUCUUAGACACAAAGAUCAAUAUAUGGUAGUCGAUGGAGAUAAUGUACUCGAGAAAUAUUUUUGGUAGACUUUACCCAUGGCAAUUCCAGAUCAUGACCACGUACGUAGUCAUUUAAUGAAUUGUAGUCUUUGAAUGAAUUGUAUUCAUACUGUUCGCUCAAACCAAGAUGUAGCAUGAGAAAGCAGACAUGGUUGAGCAACUCUCCACCUCUUCUCAGUUGUUGAGCGUCUUCUUUCCAUGGAUAAUGAGCUGCUGCAUAAGCAAGCAUUUCCAUCCAAACUUCCUCCCUGCUUGUCGCCGGGCCUUUAGUGGGAGCUUCCUCCUUACUUAUGAUGCUAUCCAAGUCUCGCCGUUGUAAAUAUGAUGCAGUUACUUUGGAUCCAUUGAAUUAAUAACCAUCCCUUCAUAAUUGCAUUUUCUAUUCUCCAAAAAAAUCCCUAUAGUCUCUCAAAAAACUCAUCUGCGACGACUCCCACCAACAACCAGCACUUAAGAACAAAUGAAUCAUUGUUUACAUAUUUUUAAAUUGAUAUAUUAGCCUCAUAAAAACUUCUCAAUUUUUAAAUAAGUACCUGAACUAGCUAGUCUAAGAAGCUGAAUGAGUCAUCAUAAGCACAUGAUGAUGUGGUGGCUCUUCCACAAAUCUGCAAUUAGUAAGUUGAACUCCUGGUAAUUACGUUUCAAAGGCUGACUAAGGGAUGACAGUUCACCUAACAGCUUUGAACAAUUUAAAGCAAAGAUAAAUUAUAAAUACAAUUAAACACAAUCACUAAUUAACAGCCAUCAAUGUAAUUUUUUCAAUUCAUGCAUGCAAAAUAAAGCCCCACAAUACUGUUUCUAGUAGGAACUUAUUUAAGUUAAUUCACUUAAAUAAUUAUGGACACUACAUAACAAAAGCUACUACUCUUAUUCCAUGCUUAAAUUGAUCUCUUUAUUGCAGUUAAUCCCUUGAUCAUCAAUUUGUGUUGGCAAACUUCUUGGAAGUGAAUCAAUUCCUUGUUGUGGAGCUGAUGUAGUUAAAGAAGAUCUUAGUUGCUCAAGCUCUCGAUCUUUGUUGUAACCCAUUUUUGGAUCCCCCUGAAAAAUAAAAUAAAUAGCCAAAAGAGGUUAGGAAAAUAACAGGGGGCAGAAGCGCUCGGAAAACAGUCAGAAAAUUGGUCAAGGAAUUUAAAAAUACAAGGAUUGAAUUUUUGACAGUAUAUUCUUCAAGGAUAAAAGCCCUAUUGAGAAGGAAAAUUUGAAUUUUGAGGAGAAAAGCCCGAAUUUGGAUUUUAUGGACUUAAUUGGAUUUUUAUGGACUUAAUUGGAUGUUUAUGGAUUUAAUUGGAUUUUUAUUUGAAUUUAUAGAAGAUUUGAUUGCAAGAAAAAUUGAUUUUUAAGUCAAUUUGGGCUUUAAUUUGAAGAAAUUUAAGUUCUGGGGCCAAAAUAUAUUUUUUAGGAAUUUAUUGGGUCAAAUCAGGGGCUUAAUUGCAUAAAUAUUGAAGUUUAAGGGCCAAUUAGGGAUUUAAUUAAGAAAAUCCGAAACCAGGGACCAAAUUGGAAGAGGCGCGUAAAUGGAGGGGCUGCAAUUAUUCGGUUCAGGGGCCUAAUUGAAGAAAUUGAAAGUUUAUUAAUCAAUUGAGGGCUAAAUUGCAUAAAUCAGAGACCAAGGACCAAAGUGAAAAAGGCGGCCAACAAGAGGGGCGGGGACCGAAUUUGGAGGACUGAUUUGAAGUUUGACCCAUUUAAAUGAAACGGCGCGUUUUAUCCAAAACGACGCCGUUUCAUAUAUAUAAAAAAAAAAAAAAAAAAGGAAGACAGAACGGUGUCGUUUUGAACGACACUGUUCAUCUUCUCCUUUCCCCCGAUAAACAGAAACAGAGAAAACCAUUUUUUGUUUUUUUCAAAACUUCCCGCCUCUCUCUCCUCGCCCCCACCACCACCACCGAAAGCAUCAAUGGCCGACCAGCCGUUGCGUGAUUGAAGGCGCACUAACAAAAGGCACGCCGUUCCUUUUUUUAUAAAUAGAGAGAGGCCGAAGAGAGAGAGAGACCCGAGGAUAGAGGGAGAAGAGAAUAACGCACGAAGGAGAAGGGAGAACAAAACAAACCGAAAACAAGAAAAACGAAACCGAAAAGGGAAAAACUGAGAAGAGAACCGAAAAAAAAAAAAAAGGAAGAGGGCCACUGUUAGGAUCCGCAGCAACACCACAGCGCCGCCGUCCUCGAGGCCACGACACCGCAGCUCCACCAACGAUCGCCUCCACGCCAGGUGCACAUUCCUCCCCCCCUGCAUUUUUUUUCUUUCGUUGGUGUUCGUCUGGCCUCCUGCAUGUUGCAUGCAGGAGGCGGGGGGGAGAAAAAUAAUUCUCCCCCCCCGCUGGGCCGUAAGGCACUGGGCCAGCCCGAUGCUGGCCCAGCCUUGCAAGUCUGGGCCGGUCUUGGCCCAGACUGUAGAAGUUUUUGGGCCGAGACCGGCCCACUUUAGUUUUGGGCCGAGACCGGCCACUUUAGUUGCGGGCCGAGACCGGCCCGAUAUCAUUGCGGGCCGAGACCGGCCCGCCCCCUUUUUUUGGGCUGAGCCUGGCCCAUUUAUUUGGGCCGGCCCAGCCCUAUAAUAUAUUAUAUAUUAUUAAUAUAUAUAUGUGUGUAUAUAUGUUAUAUAUUUUUAUAAAAAAAAAUAUUUUGAAAAAUCUUAAAAAAUAUUGUGAUUUUUCUGCAUAUUUUUGUCAAAGUGGUUUAAUGUUGGUUUGUAUUUUUAUACUGUAAAGAUACAAAACCAGUGUUAAAAAUACCCGGUUUUCGUCAAAACAUCAAAGAUUUUUCAGAAUAAAAAAUGUUUUUGCUUUCAAAAAAAUUCUAAAAAGUCCCUAAAAAUAUUGUUGAUUUUUCUGCAUAUUUUUAGCAAAGAGGAUUAAUAUUGGGUUGUAUUUUUAUACCGUAAGGAUACAAGCUCAGUAUUAAAAUACCCGAUUUUCGUCAAAGCAUAAAAAAAAUAAUAUUUUCCAAAAAUUGUUUUUGUUUUAAAAUACGGCCUAGUCUCUCCAAUAUAUAUAUAAAUAUUAUAACAUCAUAUUUUCACACAACAAAGAAAAUUUUCAAAACAAUAUAUGUAUUAACAUGCAUUUUGGCUUUAAUAACCAGUUUAUUCAAGCCAUGAGAACUAGGCCAAUAUUUCAAAAAUUCUAAAAAAAAAUCUUUUGUUUUUUUUAGUAUUUGGGAUUACGAAUUUAUACGUAAAACGUAUUCCUAAAUAUUAUUAAUAAAUUUUGGUAUGACGUUAGAACGGUUAGGAUUUUUACCCGAUAAGAUAAAAGACUUCUUACCGAGGAGGAUUUUUCUUGAACCAUAGACAGACCAACAACUAGAAAACACAAUAACACCUUAGUUUUUUUUUAUUUUUAUCAGACAAUAAAACAAUGCAGCUUACCUUAGGUAGGGCGUAUUUGGGGUGCUAAUACCUUACUUUUACGCAACCAGUCUCCGUACCCGAUCUCUGAGACCAGUUAGGGUUCCUAGUGACCAAAAUACUAGGUGGCGACUCCAAAGAACCAAAUCAAACCAAAUAAUAAAAAAUUUCGCCAGUCGAACCCGCAAUUAAAAAAUAUUUUUUUGGGGUGCGACAAUCUUUAUGCUCAAGCACUCGCUGUUGAUGCUUAAGCUCUUGAUUUUUAUGCUCAAGCUCUCGAUCUUUAUACUCAAGUACUCGUUGUUGACGCUCAAGCUCUUGAUCUUUAUCAGUUACAAUUUUUUCAAGUUUUUUCAACUCCUUUAAAAUAGCAAUAUUGUUAGCUCGACAUGAGUAAUUAACAAAUAUUUGAUUAAUUUAUGCAAAUUAUUCUUAUUUAAAAAUAGAAACUAGGAGUCUCAUGAAUUCAAUUUAAUUUCUCGUUUCAAUAAAUAUAAAGGUAAUUUGACUAAUUUCCCAUUAUUAAUUGAUUAAAACUUGCUACCUAAUUAAGUACAUUAAUCUUGUUUUAUAUGCAUGCAUGCAUGCUGUUCGAAGGAGGCAAAUUAAGUGCAACCUUGUUUAAAUAAAAGAAUGUGUGGUGUAAAAACUUAUGCAACACAACGUGAAUAUCAAAAAUAGCUUAUAAUAUUAAGAUUAUUGGUUAGACGACAGACUAUUAAAGGCCUUGGACAUUGAAUUUAGCUGAAGAGAAAGAGUGGCACAGUGCAAAGCAUGGAAAAUUAACAGGUCAUCAAUUUGUCUUUUCCUUUGAAAAGAGAGAGAGAGAGAAAACCUCGUGUGCCUCUGUCUGGUUUGUUACUAAAAAAAAUUUCAUUUGAUCAAGUGUAAAAAAUCAACAAGGCUGGACACGAUGAUAAUUGUACUAACUUGUAAAAGUUCUACCUUCCAUUAUUUGAAAGGAGAUAUGUAUGUAAUACAAUCAAACAAUUUGAAUAUAAAGAUAGGUAGAGUAUUAUAUAUCUGACCUAUAUAUUGGAUCUCCAUUUUCGAAUUUACAUGUAUAUUUAAUUAUUAUAUAUAUUAUUUAAGAAUAAUUUUGUGAGAUAAUUAGUGUAAAGUAUUUUGAUUUUUUUAUGGACAAUAGACUUUUUUUAAUGAAAAUGUACCAUGCAAAGAAUUGUAUCAUGAAUCUUUAUCCAAUAUGGAAAACUAAAAAUUAGCUUCGAUUGAUGUUAAUGCAAGUAUAGAAUUACCAAUGUUACCCUAUCGUUAAAAAGCUUAUUGUUUAAAAUUGGUUUUUGAAUAUAUAUAUAUUUUUUGGAAAUGUUUUUAAGUGUUUUUAUGCAAAAAAUAACAUCUAUAUAUGGGUAUAUGAGAGGAAGUAAAAGAGAAAUGUAAGGAAAAUUGAAAGUUUUGAUAGUUAUUUUAAAAAAGAAAAAAAAUGGAAACUAUUUAAAAAAACUAUACGGUAAAUUGAAAGGUUUUAAAGUAUUGAGAUGGAAGUGAAACAUACCUCAUCGGGACUCGACUCUACCAUGGCUGCAAAACCUCUCAUAUAUUUAUAUCCAGCCUCCUUAUAUUCUUUUCUCUCCUCCUUUUUGUUUUUAUUGAAGAUUGUGGUGGAACAUCAAUCAAUUUAUUGUUAGAAAUUGAAAUAGUUGUCAGUUAAUAAAAGCAAAUAUAUAAUAUUAAUCAUUUAUUCCAAAUUUUUAUUAGACGCAAAGGUAUCAAUAAAAGCAAAUAUCUAAUAUUAACCAUCAUCCAACUGUUUUAAAUUAAAUGACACGCAAUUAAAAUCACUUUAUUAAUAAUGAAGAAAAAGAAAUGAAAACAUUCAAAUGGAAUUUCCAAAAUAAUGAAUUAAACAAACAUAUAUAAAUUGAAAUAAUCUGAUUUGUUAUUUUAUUAUGACGCCUAAAAAAAUGCAGUAUUUAUCUACGUACUUAAUUGAGAAGGAUUUUUGGUAUACUUACCUCUGUCACAUCAAGAAACAGCUCGUCUGAUUCAUUAUAGUUGUACUGUUCGCUCAAGCCAAGAUGUAGCAUGAGAAGGGAGACAUGAGUGAGUAACUCUCCACCUCUUCUCAGUUGUUGAGUAUGCUCUUUCCAUGGACAUUGAGCUGCUGCAUAAAUAUGCAUUUAUAAUCUCCCGUCGCUUCUCAGGUCCCAAUCGCAGCAAUUGGCUGGCGAGCCUUUCCACGCCACGUAACACUGACUUUUCUAUUUUCCAGGAACGUUCAUCAGGAUAACGAUCUUUUAGACUGUUGCGCAAUUCUCGCAAGGCAUGUUGAUACCCCUCAUCAUCAGGACCACGAUCUUUUAGACCCUGCAAUUCUCGCAAGGUACGUCGAUAUUUUCGACCCUGAAAUUCCCCAUCUUUUAGACCCCGCAAUUCUCGCAAUGUUGUUAGAUAUUCCUCAUCAUCAACGAAUCCUUUAGAGAGCAUAUUUGGUCUUAUCACCAAAAGAUACAUCAUGUAUUCAGAUAGGCAUUUGCUUGUUUCAUAUUCUGUGGAAACACUACUUCCAUCUUUAUUCAGAUAAGCAUCUGCUUCUUUCAUAUCAUCACAAUAACAAAACUCUGUUGCGAGAUGCCAGACAAGAAUGCUCCGACUGAAUUCUACUUCAGUCGUGCACCACUUGUAGUCCCGUAACAGUCCCUCUCUUUCUAGCACACCAUCUCCCCUCUUACCAAUUAUUUUACUUCUGUGAUUCUUAUCACAGACAUUCAAAUCUUCCUUAAUCUUCUGAGCUUUCUCUCGAAGAUGUUCGAAAAUAAGACCUUGCAGUUCUCCAUUCAAAUCUUUCCGAUCCACAUGCAUCUGCCUCUUCAUUUCAUCGAUUCCCAGCAAUUCCAAGCAUCUAUGUGGCUCGCUUUCGAAGGAAGAGCUUAUCAGGUUAUACUGUGAUAUGGAUCUCGACCACCUCUCGCUUCUAGUUAACUUCCUUAUCAGAGAAUAAAUUGCACCAGUCAAGGCGUUCUCUCCUUCAUCAAUCAACCAAAUCACUGUCCAGUCAGACAAAACAAGGCAUGAAAAGGCAUAAAACUCGAGAAAAACUGCGGUCGCAAACAAUAAGUACGUGAUUGCAAGGUCGGUCGUCGUUGAGUAGUCAUGCUUGUCAAUCUUGACCUGGAAGGUAAUAAACGCAGUAACAGAGAGCAGAGAGCUGAUACAGCGAAGAAUGAUUCCGCCACGGGAGUAAAUCAGAGGCGCUUUAGUGUAAAGCAUAUCAUAUAUCAAUCCAAGCUCAGCCUCUACCACCUUGAAGGCACCGUCUGCUGUAUUUUUUGAAAUCAGGUCCCUGCUUCUUAUUAGUGCAGGAAUGCCAACGACAAGAUCCUGCAUCAUAAACUUGGAUAUAUAAGAAAAAACAUAAGCUUGAAGAAGAUAAUCUCGCUGGUGGUCUUGUGGACGAGUUUUUGAUAUUCUCGUACGAUCAUAAGAAUCCCGAAAAUCUGAAAAAUAAGAUUUUUUCAAACUCUUGGAGCAUGAAGACCAGAGCACCCAAGUCCUCUCUGCGUACUUCGCAAUGCCAACAACGAACAUUGGGAUCGCUAUGAAUGAGAGGAUACCGCUACCCCAGGACCUUGAGAAGACAUAAAAAGCCACCCCGACUUGGAAUACAAGACCAAGUAAAUGCCUUAACCACAACUCGUUAUCUUCAAUUGAGUAUGCAGUGAUUGUGUCUGGGCCACCAAGGUGCAGGAGUAGAAAAGGUGCCCAAAAUGCCUGGAUGGAAUUGUUUGCUUUCUCUGAACUGUCACCUGAUGAGUCUCCUUGGCUCCUGGCUAGAUUACCCAAUGCAACAGUUGCCACCAUGUCUGCUGAUAGGUAUGCAGACCAAACGAGAAUCCUGAUCCAGCUUCUAGCAUCUGUCUUUCGCCGAGACCCAAAUACGAUGAGGAUGGUUUGUAGUAAGAGACUAAGCAAAACCAUUCCUCGAAUCUCCCAAUUGUUCCAUAAAUUUAAGACUUCUUCAGGCAAUUUUUUAAGCAUUGUCAUCUUUUCCCCAACUAUGGAAACUAGUUCUCUCAGUAAACCCUUGAAAAAACAGUUUUGUAAGAUGAAAAGGUAAAUGUGGAUAUCUUUGAAAAAAUCUCUUAAAAUGAACAGCGAAAAUUAAAGACUCUUGUGAGAAAAGAAGAGGUGCAGAUGGAGGACGACAAUGAACAAUUCUGAAGCCUUUAUUAAAUGGAACUUAACAGGACAUGUCUGUAUUAUUUCUCAGAUAUCUAUCAAUAACCUCACGAUAUUCCUCCUCCUUUAUUUUUGUUGAAAAUUGCAGGCCCACACGCAAAGACUUUAUUAAAUGGGCCAAGCGCUGGGACAAUACCUGGUACUUUCCUUCUUUUUUCUUUUUUUUUUCUACAUGUUGUUUGUUUUAAUUAAUGCCUUUUCUUAAUAUAUGUUUUUUCAGAAUGAUUUUUAAAUUUAUAUUUAAAUUAACACAUCUUCUCUUUUCUUCCCUUUAUUUAGCCUCAUUUAAAUAGCAUUAUUUUUUAUUAUUUUAUAUGCAUUUAAUUUUUAAAGAGAUUAUUUUAAUUCAUAUAUAAUUGUUUUUAUGUUUUAAAUAAAAAAUAUUUAUUUUUGGAUAAUAUUUCUAAUAAAUAUAACCUUGCAUAAUUUUUUUUAUUCAAUCAAUUUUAUAUUUAUCUAUUUUUAUUAAUUUUUGAAUAAAUAAAAAUUUCAUUACCAUGUGUAAGUUUUUUUAUUUACACUUAUGUUUGUUUGAUAUACAAAAAUACAUUGAAAAAGCUUUAGUAUAUAAUUUUUUUAAAGAAAAAAUAAUAAUUUAUGACGGAUCACCAGUCAAAUAGAUAGUAAAUAAAUUUUAAAAAAUUGGUGUAAACUCGCCUCCUUCACUGUUUAUAUGAACAACGAAGGAGGCCUUUUUGCAUUUUUCUAUUUUUAUUUUCUUUUUGAGCAUGCGUCCAAUAUUUCUUUGGUUUGUGUAAUUCAAAUGAAAUAAUAUUUGUUGUCGAAGUCGACCUUUAUUUCCCUCCCACGAACGCACAAGGAGUUCACGUGACCAGUCGAGUGCCAUAAAAAUAAAAAUAAAAAAAGUCAAAGAAAAGGGAGAGGUAGGGGUGGUGGUGGGGUCAAUCACGUGAACCAGGCAUGGGAUGUUGGGGACUCCAAGCCUUUCGUUUCCCAUUGGUAAUUUUAUUUGUGAUUUUCUUCCUUUAAUACAAUAUGGUCGUCGCUAUUAGUUGUGUCCUCAAGCUUAUAAGGAAGCGAACAGGGACACGUUAUGCACUGACAUCUUAGAGAGGGAAAUGAGAAGGAAUCCAUUGGCCGGGAGUGCGUCCAUCACUUCCCAUACAAUGGAUGAUGAUCUUCACGUGAAGCUGCUGUACCUGGAGAACAGAGAAAUAUUGUUCUGCAAAUGAUAAUUUUGGAUCAAAUCACUAGUUUUUUUGCUGAAGCCAGUACAUCAUUCUUAUGCACUUUCAGCUCAAUGGGACUGGAUUUUGCUUUUGGAUUGCAUUGAAUUGAAAAUUUGCUUCUUUUUCUGGCUUAAUCUGCAUGAUUUUGUUCCUGUUUACAAUUAACUUGGACGUGACUGGACACCUAGCUCGAACAAUUGAAUUUCGAUCAAGAACUAAAGAUAUUGACAAAAGGUAUCAAGUUCAAAUACCUACCACCUUUUGAUUUCACUGCUCACUUUAAUAUUCGGUUUCAAUUCACCAGUAUGAGACCCUUAUCUUCUCUAUUAAAAACUAUAUUUUAAUAGACAGGUUAUGCAUUGAUAUCUAAGAGAGGGAAAUGAGAAGGAAACCAAUGGCUGGGAGUGCCUCCAUCACUUCCCAUACAAUGGAUGAUGAUCUUCACAUGAAGCUGCUAUACCUGGAGAACAGAAGUAUAUUGUUCUGCACAUGAUAAUUUUGUUCCUGUUUACAAUUAACUUGCCUUUUCUCCUAAGAAUUUCAAGAUUAAUAUGCCAAAAGCUAAAGUUUUUUGUUAAUUUACUGAAAUCUCUUUCUUGCACAUAGAGAGAAAUCCUGCAAUGAUAUCUUCAAAUACUCUAUUGAGAUACCUACAUGUCAACAGUACUGAUCUUCUUCCUGCUUUAUCCGAGCUUUAAAUUCCUUGGUUUGGGUGCUGGGGGUGUCCUGCUAGCUAUCUUGUCUGCUCUUCUCCAAAUAGGAGCUUUUACCAUGCAAUCUUGAUGAAAAUAGAGAUUUUUUUAAUGGCAUUUGAUGCGCACAAAGGUGAAGGCAUCCCAUUGAUUUAUGGCUUUAGCGCCUUUUGUUCAAUUAUGAUCUUGAGAAGUGAAGCAGAUUGAUUGUUUUAAAUGAUUAAGUAAUUUUUUUCUUAUAAAAAAGUUAUUCUAUUACUUGUAUUACAUGUUAGGCGUGAAGUUAAAGUUCAUUUAAUAUUUCUCUAUCUCAAUAUAUUUUUUAAAAAAAAUAUUAACUUAUUUUUAUUUUAAAAUCAAAUCAUAUUUUUAUAUUCAAAUCUAAUAUUUUUUUAAAAAAAUAUUAACUCAAUCGGGUCAUAUUUAUUAAACAUGGUUUAAUUUUUUAUAUUAAAAAAACUAAUAUCAUAGCAUCUAUUAAUAACUCAACGCUUUAGCGCCAUUAAACCCACAUUCAAAGAAACAACGAAAAAAGGUAACUAGUUCUCCAUAUUCUUUUUGCGAGAUUCUAUGCAAAAUUGGCAAAAAGAAAAGAAAAGAAAUUGCUCAUUUUUAGGACCAACUAUGAAAUUAAUAAAUUAUUAAUCUAAGUCUUCAACAGAUGAACACAUUUAAAUAAUGAAUAAAAAUGAUUUGCUCAUGUUAUCCGAUGAUAAAUUUUACGAUUUGCACGUCCUAAUAUGUUUUAGUUAACUCACUUAAAUAAUUAUGUACAUAACUUGGAGAGGUAGACCUUUAGUGGCAUCCCCAAGCAAGAUGUCUCUAAUAGUUGUAGUAUAUUUAUCCUCCAAACUUGUUUAAGUCUCAUUAUGUUUUUCUUAAGAUCAUAAGCUUGUGAGGUGUCAGCUCCAUCAAAACAUAUUGCAGCGAUAGCAUCGCAUUCGGCUUUCGCCAUUAUAAAUAUGAUGCAGUUACUUUGGAUCCAUUGAAUUAAUAACCAUCCCCUCACAACUGCAUUUUCUAUUCUCCAAAAAAAUCCAUAUAAUCUCUCAAAAAAAAUCUUCUGUCGACGACUCCCACCAACAACCAGCACUUAAGAACAAAUGAGUCGUUAUUCACAUGUUAUUAAAUUGAUAUAUUGACCUCAUAAAAAAAAUUUAAUUUUAAAAUAAAUACCUGAACUAGUCUAAGAAACUGAAUGGAUCAUCAUAAGCAAUGAUGAUGUGCUGGGUCCUGGUAAUUACAUUUCAACCAGCGUUAAAACCCACCAAAAAUAGUGGCAAUAAGAGGUGCAGAAGGAAGAUAGUGAACAACCACUGUCGUUACCCACAUGCAUCAAAUCACCGUCAUGAAGUCUUCCUUCCUCAGUGAUCGAUUAAAUGCGAUAUGGUUUCAUCAAAUUUGGGUUUCUUUUGAUUUAUGGGAGGUUCUUGAGAUGGGUUUAUGUUGUUGGAUAAGUGGAUUUGAAGGAAUCUGGAGAGGGAGAGAGUACUUCACUUAAAUUUUCUUUUAACUAUGAAUUAUUUUUCAAAGAAACUUUUCAAACAAUAAACAUAAAAAAGUUUGGACUUUGGAUUCUAUAGCCGUAGAAAAACUUUUCAAUAAUUGUUGCCUCGGACUCGACAACUUUUCAAUAAUUGUUCCCUCGGACUCGACAAUAGUCAUGCAUUGCUGUUAAACAAAGCCAUGUGCAGCAAAAAGGCACUGACCGUAUAAAUAAUUGGCUUUGCACUGUUCCAUUCGACACUUUACUUGAGGAAAAGGACAGCGAGAAAGAAAAACUUUAUUUUUGUUGAAAAUUGCAGGCCCACACGCAAAGACUUUAUUAAAUGGGCCAAGCGCUGGGACAAUACCUGGUAUUUUCCUUCUUCUUUUUUUCUUUUUUUUUUUUCUAAAUGUUGUUUUUUUUAAUUAAUGCCUUUUCUUAAUAUAUGUUUUUUAAGAAUGAUUUUUAAAUUUAUAUUUAAAUUAACACAUCUUCUCUUUUCUUCCCUUUAUUAGCCUCAUUUAAAUAGCAAUUAUUUUUUAUUAUUUUAUAUGCAUUUAAUUUUUAAAUAGAUUAUUUUAAUUCAUAUAUAAUUGUUUUUAUGUUUUAAAUAAAAAAUAUUUAUUUUUGAAUAAUAUUUCUAAUAUAUGUAACAUUGUAUAAUUUUUUUUAAUUCAAUUAAUUUUAUGUUUGUCUAUUUAUAUUAAUUUUUGAGUAAAUAAAAAUUUCAUUACAAUGUGUAAGAUUUUUUAUUUACACUUAUGAUUUUUUUUAUAUACAAAAAUACAUUGGAAAAGCUUUUCGUAUAUAAUUGUUUUAAGGGAAAAAAAUUGAUCUAUGGGAGCGCGGGUCAAAUAGCAUCAUAAAAUUUUCUAAGGUUUAUAGUCCUUUAAAAAGGCUAGAAAACUAACCUAAAAUAUAAAAUAAUAUAAAUAAUGUGUACAAAAUAUCAAACCACAUCAAUCCAUCUAAUUUUCCUUUUUUGCUACUCUUUGUUUUGUUUAUUCUUUAGCCUUCGUCUUAUUUACUAUUUGUUUUUGUAUUUAAAAUUAUAUUUGACUUAAAAAUAUUAAAUUAAUAAUUUUUUAGUAUUUUUUUAAUUAAUUUGAUAUUUUAAAUAUUAAACAUAAAAAAUAUUUUUAUAUAUUUUUAAAUAAAAAAUACUUAAUAAUAAAUUUCUAGCUAUCUUUUUUUUUUGCUUAAUUUAAUCUGUAUGUCGUUUUAUAUUUAAAAAAAAAAAACAGCAGUAGAAGAAGAAGGAGGAGGAAGGUACUAAUUUAAUGCAUAACCUUUUUUUUUUCUUCUUUUUUAUUCCUUGAUAUGACACAUUCUGCAGUAAUGUAUAUUUGUUGAUACCUUACCAAAAAAUACUGCCAGUGAAAGUAGUCGGGUAAAAAUUUAUAGCAUGUCUUUAUUAUUAUAAUAAUUAUUUUUUAUUUAAAAAUAUAUUAAAAUAAUAUUUUUUAUUUUUAAAAUUUUAUUUUUGAUAUAAUAUAUUAAAAUAAUCUAAAAUUAUUAAAAAUAUAUUAAUUUAAAAUAAAAAUAAUAAAAAAUCUAAAAAUACUUUUACAACGUAAAAACAAACUAACACUUAUAAAAGUAAUUUUUUUAUAUAUAAAAUUUCAUCCCAUACUAAUGAUUUCUUAGCAUGGCCAAUGGGGUUAAAGAAAACAAAAAAUCAAUUAAAUUGAAAAAAUAAAAAAAUUAAUUAAAAAAAAAAUAAGCUGAGAAAAAUAAUAUCAAAUUAACCAAUUAAAAAUUAAAAAACAAAACCUGUAAGAUUUGAUUUUAGUUUAAAAAUUUUAAAAUUUAAUGAACACGACCGGACCAAAAAGCUAACUAGGGGAUUAUAAUUUAUCCACCAGCUUGAACAAUUCAAAACAAAGAUAAAUUUAUCCGUCAUGAAGUCUUCCUUCCUCAGUGAUCGAUUAAAUGCGAUAUGGUUUCAUCAAAUUUGGGUUCUUGAGAUGGGUUUGUGUUGGAUAAGUGGAUUUGAAGGAAUCUGGAGGGAGGGAGUACUUCACUUAAAUUUUCUUUUAACUAUGAAUUAUUUUUCGAAGAAACUUUUCAAACAGUAAACAUAAAAAAGUUUGGACUUUGGAUUCUAUAGCCGUAGAAAAACUUUUCAAUAAUUGUUGCCUCGGACUCGACAAUAGUCAUGCAUUGCUGUUAAACAAAGCCAUGUGCAGCAAAAAGGCACUGACCAUAUAAAUAAUUGGCUUUGAACUGUCCCAUUAGACACUUUACUUGAGGAAAAGGAUGGCGAGAAAGGAAAUGGCAUCAUACCUCAGUGGAACUUGACAGGACAUGUCUGUAUUAUCUCUUAGAUAUCUAUCAAUGGCCUCAUUUAAAUAGCAAUUAUUUUUUAUUAUUUUAUAUGCAUUUAAUUUUUAAAGAAAUUAUUUUAAUUCAUAUAUAAUUGUUUUUAUAUUUUAAAUAACAAAUAUUUAUUUUUGGAUAAUAUUUCUAAUAAAUAUAACCCGGAGAACAAUGGGUAAUGAUCUUCACAUGAAGCUGCUAUACCUGGAGAACAGAAGUAUAUUGUUCUGCACAUGAUAAUUUUGGAUCGAAUCACUAGUUUUUUUGCUGAAGCCAGUGCAUCGUUCAUAUGCACUUUCAGCUCUAUGGUACUUGAUUUUGCUCUUGGAUUGCAUUGAAUUUAAAUUUUGCUUCUUUUUCUGGCUUAAUCUGCAUAAUUGUGUUCCUGUUUACAGUUAACUUGCCUUUUCCCCUAAGAAUUUCAAGAUUAAUAUGCCAAAAGCUAAAGUUUUUUGUUAGUUUACUGAAAUCUCUUUCUUGCACAUAGAGAGAAAUCCGGCAAUGAUAUCUUCAAAUACUCUAUUGAGAUACCUACAUAUUAAAAUUACUGAUCUUCUCGCUGCUCUAUCCGAACUUUAAAUUCCUUAGCUUCAAAUAGGAGCUUUUAUGCUCUUUCUAUUUUAAUCUCCUAAUCUACCAAGCAAUCUUGAUGAAAACGGAGAUUUUCUAUAUGGCAUCUGAUGCGCACAAAGGUGAAGGCAUCCCAUUGAUUUAUGGCUUUAGCGCCUUUUGUUCAAUUAUGAUCGUGAUUGGUUCAAAUGGAUAUCUAUCAUCGCUUCUAAUUAAAUGUAUGAUCAAGUGUUGUGGUGUACAUCACAGUGGCAUUUGCAAGAUUAUUCUUCCCUACUGAAGUCAAGCUAGCCAUGGACAUUGGACAUGCUGCAACAACACCAGAAUUUGUUGGUCUUGCUGCUUCAAAAGGUUCUAACGGGAAUUUGAGGGAGCUUGACCUAGAUGAGACACCAAUAACGCAGAACAUAAGACUUCGUUCUAGGAUGGAAGCCCUAACGAAAACAGGUACAUGGAAACUAUGAAUCCUUCUGUUUCAGGAACCAGCAUCAGGACAUGUUAUAAUGUGUUAUAAUUACGAGGGUCCUAGAAUAUUUUAAUCUGAUUGACUCAAUUGAAUUCCCAUGAAGUUGCAGAAUUGAGCAAAUCAAAUAUAAAUCUUGUGGCUUAGAAAAUACAAACUAUUUAGUUUUUGCAAUUAUUCUCAUAUUAGCUGUGUUUGUCAUGAUGGCAGUUGAAAUGGGCCGACGAUACUUCCCCAAUUGCUCCCAAGUGCUCGAUAAGUUCAUGGAGGAUGACCUUCCUGAUUUGUUUUACCAUGAAAAGGGCACCCCAGAUGAACAAAGAAUCAAGAAGACACGUUUCAUGGAGCUUAAAGAGGAUGUUCAAAGGGCAUUUACCAAAAAACAAAAAACUAUGAAUAUUGUGCUUUGUCUUGGGAAAACAAAAAACUAUGAAUAUUGUGCUUUGUCUUGGGAAAACAAAAAACUAUGAAUAUUGUGCUUUGUCUUGGGAAAACAAAAAACUAUGAAUGUUGAGUUUCGGUCCACAACAAACAAGGGACGAACACACUGUUCCAUCCCAUUCAUACAGGACAGGACGACCGUGAGUAUCUAUGCAACCAAAUCAUCUGCUGAACGUCAAGUCAAUGGUUCAAGCUCCAAUGGUGGCUUUAGCGCAAACCAGCCAGUUCCAAAAACUCCAUUAACCUUUCGAGCUAUUUGGCAGAGGUGUAAAAUGGAUUGACAGGCCCAUGGUCAGAACAAGCUUCCAAAUAUGGGCAGCGCCUGGCAUCGUCAAAAAGUUCUUAAAAGGCUGUGCUACUGCUUGAUGGCAUGAGUGUUUAAAAGUGUGGUGGAUGUUAUUUUAUAAAAUGUUUUUUAUUUUAGAAAAUAUUAAAAUAAUUUUUUUUAUUUUUUAAAAAUUAUUUUUUACAUAAGUACUUGAAAAUAAUCUAAAAACAUAAAAAAUAUAUUAAUUUUAAGUAAAAAUAAAAUCAAUUUUUUUCAACAAUAUUUCCAAAACGUAAUCUCAAACAUUGCAUUAAGUGAUCUAACACGCCACAUGACUUGUGCUUUGUUAUGGGUUAAAUUUUUUUAUUUUUCAUAAAAAUUAUUUAUGUAGAUUUUUUUUCAAUGUAUUUUGAUUGUUAAAAAAAAUAUAACAAAUCAAAAAAUUUAUGUAUUUAUAUAAUUAAAUAAACUAAGAAUUAUGUAUGUUAAUAAAUCAAUAAAAAAUUAUUAACAACACUUAAAAACAAAAUUUAAAAAACUUAAGACAAAUGUAAAUCAAGAUAUUAAAUCUUAAAAAAUAAAAUAUUAAAUUGAUUGAAUAAAAAAAAUUAUAAGUUUUAAGAAAAUCAUUUAAAAAUAAAUAUAUUUUAUUUUCAAAAAUAUAUUUUAUUAAAGACAAACUAUAAAUAAAUUAGGAAAAUCACUUUGAAAAUAACACCUCGUAGAUGGACCGAGCGUGUUUGGAGUGUAAUUGCUGUUGUUUUUCAAAGUGUUUUUCGCUUAUAAAAACAUGCUAAAAAUAUUUUUUUAUUUUUUAAAAAUUAUUUUUGAUAUUAGUAUAUCAAAAUGAUUUGAAAACAUAAAAAAUAUAUUAACUUAAAAUAAAAAUAAAAUUUAAAUUAUUUAAAAAAUACUUUUUCACUACAAUGCCAAAUACACUUGGAAUCGACCACCGACAGUCGCGCUGCUAUAGUUGUAAAAUUCCAGCCGCCCUCGAUAACAGUGUAUCAGUCAAACCUUAUCCUUGGUCUCUUGUUAGCGUAAGCAUUCAACAUAGAUGGCUGAUUUAAUUAAAAAAAAGGGAUAGAUGAAGGAUUUUUCUAAAAAGAUAUUUUUUAUGUCUUAGAAUAUUUUUUUAUUCAUAAUUGUUUAAAACAAGGGUAGAGAAUUUGGGAUAAUAAUACAUGUUAAAAAAAAUAUCUAUAAAAUAACAUAGUUUUAUGUCUUAGAAUUUUUUUUUAUUCAUAAUUGUUAUUUAGAAUAAUAAUUGCAUUUCAAAAUAUAUUUAUUUAAUAUAUAUUAUUUAAUAAAUAUAUUUUUUAACUUAAUUAACCUCUACACAAAUCAAUUAAAACUUUUAUAAAAUUUAAAGGUUAAAAGAUAAGAUUCAAAAUACAAUACUUUUAAUUAAAGCUUGUGUUUAAGUACUAUUCUUAAUAACAAUCGUAUUCAAACUAUAUUAUUUUAUUAAUACUUUUUUAAUAUUACGAAACUCUAAAAUAUCUAACACGACAUCUAUAAAAAAGAAAUGAGGGGAAGGGGGUCACAAAGCAAACAUAGAGAGAAGAGAGAGAGAGAGAUUGAGGACAAUGAUGAGGAAAAUAUUGGUUGCAGUGUUGAUUGUGAGCAUGGUCGCUUCUCAUUUUGAGAACGUAGCGUCUGAUGCUUCUGAUUGCGAUGACGCAUGUACCACCGGCUGCGUUCAAUCAAACACAAGACUUUUGCUCCGCUGUAAUAUCAAAUGUGGGAUAAGAUGCGGUCCGGAUUCUGAAGUCGAAGAUCACACAGGUUAAAGAACUUGGGAGUCUCAAAGAUGAAUGUCACCUGGAAUCUAUUUAUGGAAUAAUUUGCAGCAACUCUUUUGACUGUCUUUAUUUUCUGUCAAAUUUUCAGUGUUGAUACUCUUUGUAUUAGAAAUAGGAAGGGAAGAGGGGGAUUAGGGCUAUUAAUUUGAAUAAAGAAAGGAGAGAAUCACUUCUGAAACUUCAGUUGCUGUAAGAAAAAAUUGUAGCCUUUUGUUCUUGAAACUUGAUGAUCAUCAUUUUAGACACAGAAAAACACAGAUUCAUCUAUAUAAGGCACCAGUAAAGUACACACUGCAAUCUGCAUCGUGGAACAAGCAAUUAAAGGAAAUCAUGAUAAACGAAGUGGAAGAGGAGAGAGGCCAUAUUGUCAUCUUCUGGAACGAAGAACCAGAAGAAAUUCCUCCUAAAACAUCAAAACAGCAAACAUCUUUGGGUGCGAGAGGGCCCGAGUUCGAUUCUCGGAAUGCCCCAUCUUCAACAUAGGAGUUUUACCUCGUAUGUUCUGAUAUUUCUGGUUUUGCCGACAAGAUUCUAUGAAAAUAUCUUAUCUUUUGGCAAAAAGGAAAAGCAGUGGACAAGAUAGAAAGAUUCCCGCAUCAAGAAAUAUGAGUGGAAAAUAUUAUUAACAACUUGCACUCAGGCCAACAAGGUGAGUUUACAACAUUCAUGGUGACCAGAAGCUACCACACCACUAGACAGCGCCAUGCAUAAAAAACUUCAAACAAUUACAAAACCAAACACAUUUUUGACAGCAAACCUACUUUAGAUGAAACAUUUGCAAGUGCUCUUCGCAACAAACCCCAAUGAAUCGAUGAGCAUCUAUAUAUAUAUAUAUAUAUAUAUAUAUAUAUAUAUAUAUAUAUAUAUAUAACAUUGACCUAUCAUCAAGAUCCACAUCAAUAAUAAGAUGGUUCUACUUGUCAACACUCCUAAAAUAGGUACCUCAAUCAUGUCUACCUCGAGAUUCUAUAUAAAAAAAUAUUGUUAAUGUUUGUAAUUUAACUAAAGUUAACAUAAUUUAAAAUAAAUAUAAUGAAAAAAGCUUAACUGUCGCGAGUUUUGCUACAGAGCAAGAGGAGAGUUCGAUCGAUCGAGAGAGGCAGGCUGUUAGAGAAUGUUUUUGGUGGAGAAAAGAGAAAUCUUAGGUGAAGUCCUCUACAACUCACUAGUGUUAUUUUUUUUUUAUUGCAUUCAAAAAUAAAGAAACCUGUCAGACAACCGCAUGACCAUUCCCAGCCAUGUUAUGGCUGGGAAACGAUCCUCUACAGCCAUGAUGAUCAUGAAGGCCUUCAAGCCAUUAUUCACGCUAUGAUCACACGGUCAUGAUUCCUCAACCAGGUUUAAGUUCCUGUCUCCUUAGUGAUUAAGGAUACAGAGGUACGAUCCUAUAGAACAGAUCCUGUUCAAGUAAGGUCGUGUUGUUCUGUGCUCCUCGAACAGUUUAUUAACUCUCUUGUUUUUUCGUUCUUUUCUGAUGUGGGACAAAUCUAGUUCUAUUUUGUUCAAGGGUGUUUUUGUCCUAAAGAAAACGCUUUGUCCGUCUUUUUGCUUCUUGCUACGAGCCCCGCGGCCCCGGUAAUAUCCAAGGGGAGAGUAGUGAUAUGAAAGUACGAGGAUGACCCUCAGCUACUGCGGCGCUGCCUUUGUGGUGGUAUUUUAGAAUCCCGACCGGGGACUAUCUGUUACUGUUUUGGAGAAAACAGCGUUCUUGCUGAGGGUGGAGCACGUUGAAAACUCAGAUGAGAUGACAAGAUUUCUAAAAACGUUUCGAGGUAGAGGAAAUCAAUUACAAGAGAGGAUGGGUUGCCUGGUACAAACUGGUUUGGACUACAAUGUUGUCUCCAGCUUCAUUAAACAAGUUCCAAUGGUGCCAAACCAGACCAAAGAUGCACUUGAAAAGAAGAUUGAUUGCAUGACAAAUUUCCUAGGCUACUCGGUCAACUCACUGGAGGAAUUCCCAGCAUAUUUAUGCUAUGAUUUUGAGAGGGUUAAACUUAGAUUUCGAAUGUAUAUUCGGCUGAGGGAAAAAGGUGCAGCAAAACGCAAAGUAUCGAUGGGCACAAUCCUUGCAUGUUCAUGUGCAAUUUGUAAAAUAUUAUGUAGAUGUCCACCCUGAACGACCAGCUAUGUGGGAAAGUUUAAGGAAUGCAUCAGCUUCAAGCCAAGGCUAGUUCUGCAUUUAAAUUGUGCACAGUUUAUAUGUAUUGUUUCAGUCAAGUUGAUGCCAUCCAUUCAUUACCCAAGGAUCUAAUCGCUGAGCGUUUUUUCUGUUUGCUGUGUUUUAACAAAUUUUUUAUGAAUCAUCCAUCUCAUGUUCUCUGUUGCUCACAAUACGAUGCUGCUGCUUGUUCUUCAACUUGCAGAUCUGAGAUGGCAGGCAUUAAUUAUUGCUGUUUGAUGUUUUAGGAUUCUGAGGAACUUCUUCGUUCCAGACGAUGGCAAUACGGCCUCUCUUCUUCCACUUCGUUUAUCAUGAUUUCCUUUAAUUGCUUGUUCCACGAUGCAGAUUGCAGAGGUACUUUACUGGUGCCUUCUAGCUUGAUAGAUGAAUCUGUGUUUUUCUGUGUCUACAAUGAUGAUUAUCAAGUUUCAAGAGCGAACGGCUACAGUUUUCUUACAGCAACUGGAGUUUCAAAAGUGAUUCUCUCCUUUCUUUAUUCAAACUUGAGAUUAUUUCUAAUACAAAGAGUAUCAACACUGAAAAUUUGACAGAAAAUAAAGACAGUCAAAAGAGUUGUUGCAAAUUAUUCCAUAAAUAGAUUCCAGGUAGCAUUCAUCUUUGAGACUCCCAAAUUCUUUAACCUGUGUGAUCUUCGACUUCAGAAUCCGGACCGCAUCUUAUCCCACAUUUGAUAUCACAGCGGCGCAAAAGUCUUAUGUUUGAUUGAACGCAGCCGGUGGUACAUGCGUCAUCGCAAUCAGAAGCAUCAGACGCUACGUUCUCAAAAUGAGAAGCGACCAUGCUCACAAUCAACACUGCAACCAAUAUUUUCCUCAUCAUUGU